RNAcentral lists this ribosomal RNA (274 nucleotides) under Shigella flexneri. RNAcentral describes it as "partial 23S ribosomal RNA". It matches the Rfam family "Bacterial large subunit ribosomal RNA", at positions 2657 to 2925 of the family's 2925-position model. The record is from RNAcentral. Lineage: Bacteria; Pseudomonadati; Pseudomonadota; Gammaproteobacteria; Enterobacterales; Enterobacteriaceae.
GAGAACUGAGGGGGGCUGCUCCUAGUACGAGAGGACCGGAGUGGACGCAUCACUGGUGUUCGGGUUGUCAUGCCAAUGGCACUGCCCGGUAGCUAAAUGCGGAAGAGAUAAGUGCUGAAAGCAUCUAAGCACGAAACUUGCCCCGAGAUGAGUUCUCCCUGACCCUUUAAGGGUCCUGAAGGAACGUUGAAGACGACGACGUUGAUAGGCCGGGUGUGUAAGCGCAGCGAUGCGUUGAGCUAACCGGUACUAAUGAACCGUGAGGCUUAACCUU